This is a long non-coding RNA of Esox lucius (northern pike), 1309 nucleotides long. The record is from Ensembl. Lineage: Eukaryota; Metazoa; Chordata; Actinopteri; Esociformes; Esocidae.
GUCAAGGCUGGUACAGGGACCACACCAUAACAUCAAUAUUAUGUUCUCCGGACCUGGAAUCUGUUUCCAUUCAGUGCAAACCUUACAGUUCAACCCAGAACUUCUGCUCAGUCAUUUUGGCAGGAGUUCACAUCACCUCAAGUCCCUGUGCCAUCUGAAGACAACAGCUACUGGCUGUCCCGAUAACUGGCAGGGUCUCGGCCCCCCAUCAAGAGAACUCCUGCAACUCCUCAACAUUUGUUGAUUUGAAUGUCUUUUUGGACCGAGCAGUGAUUUACACAGUGCAAACUGUUACAGAGAACUGUGGAAACAGAACCAUAAGCAAAGCUGUUAACAUCUCUAUUGCUAAACCCACGGGUAGGUAACAAUCAAAUGUUGUCUUAUCAAACCAGCUAUUAUAAAAUUCACAUUAAUGACAGGUAUUGUGAUGACAUUUCAAUUUAAAUAAUUUCUUAAUACACUUUUCCAUUCACAUAUGCAACUGUGGAAUGUUUUGGACUAACAGAGAUUAGCGAUUGGUUUAACACAUGUGCAAUGCCUUGACCUAACCAAAAUCUCAGCAUGAUUUGUCCAACAUUACUAACUAGCGAGCUAACAUCAGCUAAGCUAGGAAACUUAACUGUGGCAGCCAGUCAAAAAUAAUAUACAGUUUCAUAACAAACACAACCAACAACGCACAGAUUGGUUUUAAUUUUACUUGUUCAAAAAAAGACUAAUUUUGAAUGUUGAAUACAUUGAUCUUAGUACUUGGCUGGCACCAAUUCAACUUGCCUGAAAACAAUAACCAGAAGCAGCAGUAAUUUUCAGUGUUCUUGGCAUCUGGUCUGCCACAAGCAUGCUGUGCAUCACCUUCAUGCUGUAAUGUUGACCACCAGUUGGAAGUAUCUUUUCUGAACUUAUCCUUUGUGUCAUUGUUGACAGUAGUUGAAUACAAGCAAUGUGCUUGUUGAAUUCCAUUUAUGAAUGACAGAUAUUGAGUCUCACUGCGUAGUCAGUCUGAACUCAUUACUCAAUGGUGCCUUUCAAGACUAAUGUGGUAUGUACACUCACCUAAAGGAUUAUUAGGAACACCUGUUCAAUUUCUCAUUAAUGCAAUUAUCUAAUCAACCAAUCACAUGGUAGUUGCUUCAAUGCCUUUAGGUGUGUGGUCCUGGUCAAGACAAUCUCCUGAACUCCAAACUGAAUGUCAGAAUGGGAAAGAAAGGUGAUUUAAGCAAUUUUGAGCGUGGCAUGGUUGUUGGUGCCAGACGGGCCGGUCUGAGUAUUUCACAAUCUGCUCAGUUACUGGGAUUUUCACGCACAACCAUUU